ACGCACGCUGGCGGCGUGCUUAACACCUGCCAGUCGAACUGAAAGGCCCUGCUUGCCGGGUACUCGAGUGGCGAACGGGUGAGUAACACGUGGGUGAUCUGCCCUGCACUUCGGGAUAAGCCUGGGAAACUGGGUCUAAUACCGGAUAGGAGCCAUUUUUAGUGUGAUGGUUGGAAAGUUUUUUCGGUGUAGGAUGAGCUCGCGGCCUAUCAGCUUGUUGGUGGGGUAAUGGCCUACCAAGGCGGCGACGGGUAGCCGGCCUGAGAGGGUGGACGGCCACAUUGGGACUGAGAUACGGCCCAGACUCCUACGGGAGGCAGCAGUGGGGAAUAUUGCACAAUGGGCGCAAGCCUGAUGCAGCGACGCCGCGUGGGGGAUGACGGCCUUCGGGUUGUAAACUCCUUUCGCUAGGGACGAAGCUUUUUGUGACGGUACCUAGAUAAGAAGCAUCGGCUAACUACGUG
This 464-nucleotide ribosomal RNA is filed under the name uncultured bacterium. RNAcentral's name for it is "partial 16S ribosomal RNA". It matches the Rfam family "Bacterial small subunit ribosomal RNA", at positions 29 to 507 of the family's 1533-position model. The record is from RNAcentral.